UUUAUUUUCCUAAUCCAACAACCAGGGUAUAGUCUCCAAGUUUUGUUAAAAAUGUCCGAAUUAGAAGGUCUCAACUGAACCUUCCUCGUAUCUCAUCUCUCUAUCUCCGGCCACUGGAAACCGCCGCCGAAAAUCGCCCGACGACGGUGGCAAGUCUUCAAUCUUGACAAAAAUUACACUAUAUACUCACAAUGACCCCCUCUCCUCAAGUUUCGAACCAAUGUUCAUCAAACCCAGUUGAAACACCUCAAAUCUUAGAUCUAAACCUCCAUCCCCAAAGUCCUCCAGACUUGAACUCAUCAUGCAAAGGCUUGGGUUCUUGCCAUCCUAUUUUUUGAAGACAAUUUGGGCCUGAGACGAGUGUCAGGCGACUGUUCCCACAAGAUCAGUCGGUUAACACCCCUUUUGGUUUAAAUCAGAGGAGCUGGGGUUCGAGUAGCCUGAGUUGUUCUUUACUUAGGUGUUUCUCUUCGUAUUCUUUAUUCUCCCUAUUUUCGCUUCUGUUUCCACUCUUUCCUCAUUUCUUUUGUUGAUAUUCACUACUGCCUCCUCCGUUCUUGUCUUUUCUUUAUCUAUUUCUCUCUUACUGUUCUGAAAGUAUGUUUAAGAUCGAGUCAUGUUAGUACAACGGUGAGUAUCGAUUUAGGUUUAUCAUUCUUAAUUUUAGUAUCCAGAUUUCUUUGAACUUCGUGUGCUUGGUUUGAGUUUCUUGAUUAAUCUGAGUUUCACUAUACUGUAAUGGGUAUUAAAUUAAUUCAAUAUUUUUUUGUUGGGUUGAUUCAUCAGGCUCUGCUUUCAUUAUUGGGUAAAGAUUUUGGGUUAUGAUUCUGGGAGGUUCUUAAUGGGGUAAGAUGCUGGGCCUUUGAGUUGCUUAGCCCAUCCCAGCAACAACUUUAGAGCUGUAUUUGUUUGGUUUGGGCUGGCCCAUAUAAGUUUUGGUUUUCUGGAGGUAAUAACAGGGUUGUGGGGGUAAAACUGACCCAUACCCAUCUAGUUACUGAAGAUUAAAAUGAAGAAUAAAAACAGAGGAACUUGUGGGGUAAUUUAGGAAGUUUAAGAUAAUAGAAUCUUAGUGUAACUGAUCUGGAAAUUUCAAGUGAGGGGUCUUUGGGAAAUUUCAGACUUAUAGUAUUAGCUUGGGCAUCAAGUCAAAAAUUGAGGGACUGUAUGCAAACUUAAAAAUCUGAGAUGCCAUACUUUAUGAGAUAUAAAAAGAUGAUUCCUUGCCUUUGAAGGCAAAUUUUGAAAAAGAAAAAAAGGCCCUAAAGAUAUAAAAAUCCUGGAAAAUACCAAUUGCAAAAAAUGUCUAAAAAAAACUGUUCCAUUUCAUUUCAUAUGUGACUUUUUCUUCGAUUUCUUAAGCAAAUUCGAACACAUUUGGGGUUAGAAAUGGAUUAAGUUUUGUUGAAGUCUACUGGGCUCUUGUUCAAUUGAAGCUGUUUUUCUUUUGGAUUACUGCACAUAAAUUUUUGGGUCGGAAGCUGAUUUUAGUGGUUGUUUCUGCUACUGCCUCAUACUAUUGUCACUGUUGACACUUCCCCUUCUGUUUCUUUCCAUUUCCAAGUACCCUUUCUGAAACUAUGGUUAGAACUUGAGCUUGGUUGUUGAGUGUUAUCUAAAGGUUUAUGAAUUAAAUUGUUUGAAUGGAACACAUUAUUUUGACAUUGUGAUGUUGCUGCAUUUACCAUAUUCUGGUCCUUGAUUCAGUCUAGUUUACUUGGAUUUCUCAUUCAUAGGCGUUUAGUAUUAGAUAUUGGAUUUGAAUUGGUUUUGAUGUUAUAGGAUUGAAGAUACUUUAGUUGAAACUUAAAGUAAUUAAGGACUUUAAUGUUGUAGAUUGAUUACUGGAAACUAGUUGGUUUUCAUGUGUUGGUUAUAGCAGUAAGUUAAGUAUAGGUUGACUUAGAAUAAUUGGUUUCAUGUAUUUAGUGUCACUUUGUUCUCCUAAUAAAUGUGCUCAGGUUUGCGUCUACAUAGUGUGAAACAUUGUCUACUGUUCUCAUGGUCUAUCGCUGGUUCUCCCUUCAUGCCUGUUCGGAGUUUUUUUUUUCCAGAUUUAUGAAAUGGGGUUUAAAGUGGGUUGAAUCUGAAUUUAGACUUGGUUAGUCCUAGGCUUAAACUUGGUUUUAGUUCAUUUUCUGUAAGACUUGCGAAUAAAUUAUAAUCUUGGCCGGUUUGUUUUGAAAUUAAGCUAUAGGGUGUAUUGAUUAUAUAAUUCUGUGAAAAGUAGGAGUUUUCACUUGACUUCGUGUCAUAGCAUGGUCCUCUUUUGUUUUGGUCAGAUUAAUACCAAUAGUUCUAUUUCUGGCGUGAUUGUGAUUUCAAAUUGGUGUUUCCUUUUGUUGACCGAAUUGAGUUAAGCCAACUGUUGCAUGGAAACAUACUGCUUUUGCAGUAAUUGACCUCAAUAGAAGCACUGUUCUUCAGAGCUCAUGAUUGUCCUAAAAUUCGUUUGCUGCCAUGUUCGUUUUGUUCAAGUGGAUUGUAAAUGAAUUUGUGUUUGUUUGUUUGAUCUGUGUUUUUUUAAGAAUUCAUUUUGAAUGAAUAUCCUUUGAGGCCCUUAGAUUUGGUUCAUUAAUUUUCAAGAAUUAGAGUUAGAUGGACAUAGUAAUUUAAACAAGAUCAGUGAUGGGUUAAUUGAUUUCUUUUGCCUAAUUCAACAAGAUCUAUAGUAAUCUGAUCCUUGCAAAUAGAAGUAGCUAGCCAAUUCUUCUUGGGAACAGGUCGUUGGAAGGUCGAUUCCCCUUAAACUCUGCAAUUAAGAACGAAUGGGAUUGGGCCCCCUCGCAUUAAUAUCAUCAAUAUUCAUGGCUGAUUAAUAUUCGUAGCAAGCCUUUAGGGCCGUUUAAAUACGAUUGCGGUUGCGUAUACGUUCGCGUAACAUGACUAUUAUCCUAAAUCAACUCGGAGUACGCGUUUGUGAAACUUCGCUAAAUCUUUUUUUAAUAAUAAAAUUGGUUACAAGCUUUUGAUUAUUUUGAGCUCAUCAAAAUCACAUAUGGCCUUUUAGUAAUUUCAUAGGAUUGAUAAAAAUAAUAUUUCGUAGAAUAUCCUUUACGGCCGUUUAAAACUACCUAGUGUGGUUGCGUAUACGUUCGCGUAACAUAACUACAUUUCUAAAAAUGAAAUCGGAGUAUGUGUUCGUGCAACUUUGGCCAAAACGCUCUUAAUAAUAAUCAAGCAUUGUUAAUUGUUGACACGUUCGUGUGACAUGAUUUCUGACGCAUCAACCAACGGGUAUACGUAUGCGUAACCCGUUUCAAGAUAAUUUUCUAAUUAAGACAGGUAAAAAGGCAUAAGAACAUAGGUUCUAAAAUUAGUAAUUUAGCAAUUCAGUCAAGCCAAGUAGGAUCAAAGCGACCGUGCUAGAACUACGGGACUAGGGAGUGCCUAACCCUUUCUCCCGGAUUAACAGAAUUCCUUACCCGAAUUUCUGAUUCGCAUAUUAUAAUAACAGAGUCAUUUUUUCCUCAAUUCAAGAUUUUAAACAGGUGACUUGGGACACCAUAAAUUAUCCCAAGUGGCGAUUCUGAUUUUUAAUUAUUAAUCCUGUUUCGAUUGUCACUUAAAUUGGGAAAAACUGCCUUUAUUAUGCCACUCCGAGGGAGUAGUGAAAAAGGAGGUGUAACAACUCUGACGACUCUGCUGGUGAAGGCUAGUAUAACUCAGAACUCUUGUUCUGGGUUGUAGAAUUCGAGCUUGUUUUAUGAUUUUUACUUGGCUUAUUUAUUGUCGAUAUUUUUGUAUUCUGAAACCUUUGUGCUAAAUGCUAUCUGUUUAUCGCUUAAUUUUUGUUGAAUUGUAUAUAAUUGUCUCCUCACGCUACCCCACUGAGUAUUCUGAAAAUGGUGUUUACGUUCCCGUAGUCCGCUUUUUUUGUAGAAAUUAUACCAAAUAGAGCGAGGCUGGGCAGUGACAAGGGCGGGCAGACUUUUGUGCUCCUGGUAUGUCCCCCCUCCUCGGCCCCAGCUGUCCGCUCGGGUACCCCACGUCUAGAUCAUAACCCUAGGAUUUAAACUUAGAAAAACACAGCCUCAUGCCGGAUCCCUAGUAGGAGCGCUUGUUUGCAUCAUGUGCAUUGGAAUUAGGGGACUCAACACAGGGGUAGGGUCCGUCUAGGACAGGUGUACACAAAAAUAAAAGACCAUCCUGCCGCAUCCUAACGUGCUACAUGUUGCAUUUCUUCAAGGGUAAAAGGAUCAUUUGGCGGACCAAUGAAAGUUGAGGGACAACAAAAAUUGGAAAAAAAGAGAGAGAAAAAAACAAGAGGGCGAAGUGUGAAAAUAAAGCAAGUAGGAUCUAGUUAUGUUUUUGUUACAUUUUUUUGUUUUUUAUUUAGUCCAUCUAGGACAGGUGUACCCAAAAUAACAAACCAUCAUGAUGCAUCUAAUGUGCUAUAUGAACAUUCAUUUGUUUUGGCUUGCAUGCUGACCGGCUAAAAAAGAGAAAAGCAAGGAAAAAUCAGAGGAAAACAAGAAAAGGGAAAAAAUAGAGAGAGAAUAAGACCAAGAGUGAUGUGGGAAGGAGUAAACCCAGUUCCAAAGAAAACCCAAUGCUUGAAAAUACCUCAAAACUUUGCCGCUUCUUUUAGAAAAAUAGAAAAGACAAAAAAAAAGUAAAGAGAAGAAAAAGGAAAAGAGUUUUGUUCGCCAAAAAAAGUUUUGUUUUCAAAAGUAGUUUGUUCUAUUUGCCAAUGAAAAAAAAAAGAGUCUUGUGAUCAAAUUUAGUUUGUUUAUUUGCCUCUGAAUUAAAAAAAGAAGAAAGAAAAGGGUCUUGUUUCAAGAGUAGUUGUAUUUGGCCGAACUACGCAGGUCUGAUUCCCAUCGAAUAUGGGAUACGUAGGCAACCUACAUAAGGUCCGACCUUAUUUUGAAAAAAAAGAAAAAAAAGACAAAUAAGACAAUUCAGUGUCGGUAGUGUUUUAAAUCGUUCUUACCAAGAGGCCUUAGAAUAUCCUCCCGUUGUAGAAGGUCUAUCUUUGUAAAAAAAAUGGGCAAAAUUCAGAAGUGUCACAAAAUAAACCCUCUCUGACCUCAAAUUCAUAUGGAAUUGGGAAGGGGCUAUUUUUGCUAAAGAGCCAUUUGGCUAACAUGGGCAUAUCAAAGAGGGAAUCAUGGUCUUUUUGUUUCUAAACCAAAACUUGUUUUCUAAAAAAGGUCAUUAGAGUCAACCCUAACCCUACUUUCUACAGGAACGAAUGAAUAUCAUCCAGGACACAUCAGAAGUGUUUAGGGAGCAGGCUCGAGUACAUUUGCGCAUGUGGUGGAAUGAUUUGGAUCAAGAUGGUCAGGAAUGGGUAAGACAACAGUUGGGUGCUAUUAUAGACAUUUGGGAGAUCAAACCACGGGAUGAUUUGAUCAAGGCUAUGCUAACUUUCUAGGACCCCGCUUGUAAUGUUUUCGCCCUUAGACUUCGAGAUUACCCCUACUUUGGAGGAGAUAGCUGGGUACAUUGAGUUUGAAUAAGAUCUGUGGAAGCAACCGCUUAUAUUUCCAAGGACCCCAUCGGUGCAAAAGUUUUUUUGACCUCUUGAAUAUUAGCAAACAGACAAGCAAAAAACGCGUAAGCAAUGAGUGUUGUGAUUUCCAUUUCUUUUACUUCAGGUUUGGGCAUUCUUUUGGUUUUGAGACACAUGAAAGUGUUGAGCAACAAACAAGAUAAGGGUCUCUGGCAACUUCAUCACCGGAUCUCAUUUAUUGUGGCAACCUUGGGGGUAAUGGUUUUCCCAAAUGAGAAAGGGACGGUGGAUAUUUGUAUGGCUAGAAUUACAAAAACCCUCACCACCAUGAAAAAUCAUACACUUGCUCUGUUGGUACUGGCAGAUAUCUACCGUGCGUUGAAUUUAUGCAAACCUGGGGCUUAGUUAUUCGAAGGUUGCGAUAUUCUCCUGCAAAUGUGGAUGAUCGAGCAUCUUCGCCACCAUAACAGAUUUAUGAGUUAUGGUUCGAGCCCAAAUAAUUUCAUCAUCAGUUAUGAAAAGAGGUUAAAGGAUUACAACAUGCCAGAGGGGUUUGAAGUAUGGGUAUCCUAUUUGAAAACUCUUAGAGCAAGUCAAAUUGAGUGGUUUAUUGGAUGGCUCCCGAAGACCGAAGCCAUAUACAUGACUGCUGCUAAGGGCUACUUGAGGAUAAUGGGUAUGAAAAGUAUUCAACCGUAUGCACCACAGAGGGUCUUGAGACAACUGGGGCGGUAUCAAAUUGUGCCCGAAGAUGAAGAUCUAAGUACUCAAGUUAUAGAGUUGCAUCCGGAAGCCGCAUUGCCCGAAGCUUUAGUUCAACAGGAUUGGAAUGGCUGCUGGUAUCUUAAAAGUGGCACCCAAGUACCAGAUGCUGUGAAAGGAGAAGUGGAUCCACAGUAUGCUGCUUGGUUUGAGAAGAGGUCGUGUGUGAACACUGAGUCGGAACCCGAACCUGGAAACCCACCAAAAGACCUCAUGUUUAAGCAUUCGAAGACAAAAUCCAAGAAAGAUUAGGAUGGGGAGAAAAGGAAAAAGUGUAUCAAGGUGAGAUUCACACCUUGAAAGAAAAGCUGAAAAACAUGGAAUUCAAUAAUGAUCUCGAGGCUCAGGAAGCCGAAGGUGAGGAAAGAAAAUUGAUCCAAGAAAAUGAAGCUCUCAUGGCACAGAUCUGGAAAAUGAACAUAUCAAUUGACAACCCGGGCAGCAGUAGAAAGGAUGAGAUGCUCAUCUACAACCUUACCCAGAAGGCACGUGAUUUCGAGGAUGAUUUACAGAAGACUAAAAAGAAGUUAGCAAAUGCUCGGGCCAAGAUAGCCAAGGAUGCAGGGGAACGAGCAAGUUUUAUCUGUCAGUUGAAGGAGAAAUACGACAAGGGGAUGGCUAGUAUGAAGAAAAAGGUCAAGAUCGUUGAAAAUUAAAUGGCCAAGCAAGGAAGAGAUUUUGAAACCGAAAAGGAGGACUGUUAUUCUUUGAUAGCACCGCUAGAAAGGGAUUUGCAUCACCUUCAAUAACAAAGCCAUGCAACCAAACAAACUGUGGAAGCAAGAGCCCGGCAAAUUGGAGAUUUAUUACUGGAGAAGGGAAGGAUCCGUGAAAGGGUCACAACGAUUGCAUAGUACAUUGUGGUAAAAUGCCAAAUAUGUGAAGACAUGACCCUAACCACUUUCUUCGCGGCAGUCAUGACGUUUGUCUAGCAGGUAAUAAGAGAUUUGGAAAGGCUCCAGUUGGAUCUUGCAAAUGAGCCCGCAACAAAACCAAACAACACCCCAAGAGCUCUAGGAGUAUCCAAGGCUUGAUGUAUUUGUGAUCUUUGCUUGAGUUGGUACUUUUGCUUUGGGUAUGUUAAGUUGUUUUGGAGUCUGUUAGGUCUUUUGAAUUGAUCUUUUCUAAGCUUGUUAGUUUAUUUCGAAUAUGUGAGUCUUGAAGUCUUUGUAGUCAAGAUGAUUUUAUUUAAAAUUUCAAAAAAUAUUUUGUUGUUUAAUUAUUUUCAUAUCCCACAGAACUACGCUCGGUCUGAUUCAUGCAAGGUCAUGAUACGUAGGCAAUACACAUAGGAUUCGACUGUAACAAAAUAAAAGAAGAGAAAAGAGAGAAGAAACAAAGAGGGGGAGAAUAGGAGAGAAACGAGAAAAAGGGAAUAUCACAAUGUGAAGAAUGCAGUUAAAAAACAGAGAGGAUAAUAAAACAAAAGCAAAACAAGAUGAGCAAAGGAGAGGGGACAAAGGAAAAAAUAAGAGAGAAAAGAAAAGUGUCAUAGAAUAAAAGCCGGGAUGACGCAACCAGCCAAUUAGUGCAUAAUAGAAUCAUAACUGUGGCUAGGUGCAUUGCACAUAAAGUGAAAUUAUCCUGUAUUAAAUGCCCUAACAUUAACGUGAUGACUUCAGUUUGUUGUGUUCAUUCCAGAAGGGUGGUCGGUUUGUGGCUUUUGAAGUGGUAACUUUUCCCUACAGCACAACGUCAAAGGUAAUGGAAGACAAUAUCAAAACUGAGUUAGUUGGCACUGGUAUCCAAAAGCUGUUAGUUGAACGGGAUAAUGGGUUAGCUAAAGAGGUGUGGGUGUUAAGACAACAUAUGACGAGCAUGUAUCAUGUCUCGACGACCGGGAAGGCACUACCCUCGCCACCACCUGGCUUCCUAGAUGUCCCCUUUACCAAAACUAUGGCCCUUUCCAAUCACCCCAGUAGCUCCAUAAAUCAUCACAAUGAAUGCUCAUUCAAAGCUCAUGAUGUCCGAUAUUACCCCUCCAAGGUCGCCCACAAGGAGAACCCUCAGGAUAAGCUUCAAGCCAGAAAUGAAAAGGAUACAGGAAAAUAAAGGUGGGAUGAGAUCUCUGGAAAGCUAAAAAGCACAGAGUAUCAUCAAAGAACAUGCAAAGGGAUUUUGGGCAACAUUUUUAGCAUGAUAUAGACGUUGUCCCAAAUUGCUCAUCCCUACCUCAUAUGGAAAUGAAGCCCAAGGAGAGCUUUAGGGACCUUUGGCUUAGGUGGAAUGAACAAGUUGCUCGAGAUAGUUAUCCCGUCGAUAGAAAAGAUAUUGCUGAGCCUCGCCAGCGACAAGGUCCAGCGGUUGUCCUUGCAAAAUGUUUUCAGCCUCAACAACGGCCCCAUGGAAAUCCCGGUACACCAGAUGACCUUCCCUAAUAUUACCCUCAUAGUCGUGCUUCACUUUCCCAAUAUCCUGUCUACAAUGCGCCACCAUAUGCUCCACACCCACGAGACCCACAAUGGCCCGCACAACUUCCCCAAAGGUCUUACCCGCCCCUCAGGCAUGGAAACAACUUGCCCCCAGUUUAGGUUUGUAACUCCAGUUUAGGUUUGUAACUCCAGUUUAAUUUGUUGGUUGUCCAAACCCUUUCAUCGUCGGUCUAAUGCAAUUUUCUGUGUUGUUCUCUUUUCUUUGGUUGUCUUUUUCCCAUUGACUUUAGUAACAUGACAUGCAUGCAUAACCCGAUGCCUUGUCUUAAAGGUUUACUCAUAAGGCAAUAAAGAACCUUGAAGGAAAUAAGUACACUUUGAAAACUUUUAAAGGCUGAACCAUGUAAAAUAUGGGUAGCUAGAACAUGAAGAAAUCCUAAAAGCAAGUUUACCAAACUGGCAGGGGCCAUUUGUUGUAGCUGGAGUGUUGUCCAAUGGUGCAUUAUAUUUGACAAAUGUGGAAGGAAAAUGUGUAGAAAUGACUAUAAAUUAUGGUCGCAGUCAUGAGAUACUAUGUAUGAUUCAUUUGUGUGAUUGUACUUGCUUGUCUUGGCAUAUUUUGAAAAUUGAAAUGACGAAGGCAUUUUGUUUUGCUAUCUAAACACUUUAUCCUUUGCUAACCCUUUUGGGAUUUAAUUAUUUUCUUUCAUAUCCCUCUUUUGAAAUCGGUAACAAAAGUUAGAAACGCAACUGUGAGAAGGUAGUGAAUGGAAAAGAAUGGAAAGAAUGAAAACAAAAGAAAAAAAAGAAAAACAAGAAAAGAAAAGAGAAAAGAGAAAAAAAAUAAAUAAAAAGAAGAAAAAGAAAAAAAAAGAUAGAAAAGAAAAAAGGAAAUAAAAAAGAAGGAAAAGAGCACAGACAACAACAACAAAAGCGAGGAAUUGGCAGGAACUGCGUUAGACCUGAUUCCUUUUAAAGGAUACGAAGGCAGCCUCACGGUUCGAUCUCAUUAAAAUAAAGUCCAAAAGUCCCCAAGCAAGGAACUGGGGCAGAAGUUGUGGUUGUUGUAUGAAAUCCGAUUUCGAAAGUUAUAGUUUUAAACCCAUGUGAAUUGUUUUGAGCCUUUGAUACCCUUUGUUUUUAACACUAUCCAAAGAUUCCAAGUUGAGCAAGUAGAGGUGAUUCAUGUUAGGAGCAACACUCCGGUCCAAGCAAGAAAGAUAAUAAAAUGAGAGAGUCUUAUUGGUGAAUACAAUCACGGGCACCGUAAGGCGAUGGAAGCUAAGAGAAAUAAAAAAUGAGAGAGUCUUAUUAGUGAAAACCCUCAAGGGCACCUUAAGACGACUGUAAGUUGAGAGAAAGAACGAAAUGAGAGAGGCUUGAUGGUGAAAACCCCUUGGGCGCUACAAGUCGAAUAAGAUUGUGAAUCAGAUUGGAUAAUCGGAGCAUUUAAGCCCAGCUUCACGGACUGGGGGGUAUAACAAGAGUUGAAUAACAGAUUUUCUUAAUAGAACAGGCCACAGGUGCAUGUCAUGGUUAUUAGAGUUGGUACCCGCAUUUUAUAGGUUUCUACUUUUUUGGUUUUUAGGAAUCAUAUCCUUUCAUUGUCUUCUACUCUAUUCUUUUUGUCUUGCUUAUUCCCUCCUUUUGGGUCUGUUGGGUCAAAAUAAGUGAGAAAUGACUUCAAAAUCUACCACCAACUUUUAAAUUGCACAAAACGGGAUCUAGUUAUCACAUCCAAGUGUCAUAAGUUAGGAAAACAACAAGCACACUUAGCGGGUAACAUUCAACAUGCUUCAGGAUUCGUUUGAAAUACAAAGGCUUGGUAUAUAGCAAUUCAUGGAAAAUGCUACAAAAUGAGGGCUAGGGCGAACAGCUCAAGAUCGUUUCUGUGAUAAGAUUGACGAGAAGGGUGGUAAACCAGUGAUAAGUAAGAUCUUUUAAGGAGAAAUCGAAGUUAUCAUGACUAGCGAUGGAAUAGUAGACCUCAAGGCCAGAACCAAUGAUUUGGGUCAAGAAAGAACAUCAUACACAAUGUGGUUGAUAACAAUUAAUAUGCUUUGGGGAUACGGUGAAACACAAGAAUUGGGAAGAUAUCGGUUCAGGGGCAAUGCAACAAAUAAAAGGUAUUGAGAAAUAUGAUUUGUCUGGGUUGAAGAUUGCAAGGGUGGUGGUUAUUCAAGGGGCAAACAAGGUCUUCAAAUGAAAAGGAAUCAUCAUGACAAGUGAAGGAGCAACAGACCUCAAGGUCAAGGCCAGUGGUUUAUGUCAAUAAAAAAUAGCUUACACACGAAGUGGGGGGCGAUGGACGUGCUUUGGGGGCCAUGUAAAAACACAAAGGAUGGGAAGAUAUCAGUUCAUAAGCAAUGCAACGAAUAAAAGGAUAUGGGGUCUGAAUGGAGGAGAAGUAUUUUCUGCGAUAAGGGUGACAUAGCAAUUGGUUAGCCAAUAAGCAAGAAAUGUCUUUCAAGGUGGAAUCAAAGUUACCGUAGCAAGUGAAGGAGCGCAACACAAAGAUAGUAAAGGCCACAAAGGUUAGCCAAGCAUAGUAAACACUCAAAGAAGUAUGUAGGAAUUUUAGCAAGAGGGUCGAAAAUCAACAUAAAGAUGGGGGAGCAGAGUAAGCCACAAGGGUCAGAGGUUCAACAAGCAUAGUACAUUGACUUGAUAAUCUCAGGAAAGAUAUAAGAAUGCUGGCAAAGGGGCCAAGAGUGUAGCACAAAAAUGAGGGAGCAAAGUAAAGCCAUAAAGGUUCGGGGUCAGCCAACCAAUUCAGGCAACUCAUCGACAUGGAAAAUUGAACACAACGGAACACGACAGUGGAGAAGCCGAUUCCAACAAAAAUGCUGCGAGCUAACCACCACUUUUCAAACUGACAAGUUUUCUUUGAUUGACACAGGGGCAGACAAAUUCUGGAAGAUCCUAAGAAAGGCCAUCCACAGGGGAAGGUAGGCACAUGGCAGGUAUGAUCAAAAUCUCAGGGCCUAUCUGAAGAAUGCGACCAACUUAAAACUUAAUAAGGAACAUAGCCCGAUAUAUAUAUUCUCCCCAGUAAGAGUAUGCUAGGACAAAACUUUAAUUAGCAACCCCCAGCAGAAACAACCGAGAGUUAAAAGGGGCAUGCAAUUUGAAAUUUUCAAGACCUUCCUGGAAAUUGGACUCAGUUUAUAACUCAAACAGGUGUGGGUUGCAUGGGUAGUCAUAAACACCUCCCUAGUAAGAGUCGUUGCAACUCGCCUGAACAAUGAUCCCCAGCAGAAACAACAAGAAGUUAGAAUUGACAUUAAUCUGGGACCCUCAGAACCCUUCUGAAAAAUGGGACUUAGCCUAAAACAUAAAUAAGCACGGGUAACAUGGGCAUGCACAAAUAUUUCCCCAACAAGAGUCAUCAGGACCGGUUUGAAUAAUAGGAUAUAGCUCUAAAUACUAGUCCCCAGCAGACACAUCUAGCCAUCUAAUUAAGAGUUGUCAGGACUCUUCCCGGAUAAUAUGAAGUAGCUUCAAUCACCUAUCCCAGUAGAUCCCCAACAGAUAUAACUCGGAUAAUAAGACAUAGUGAAAAAUAAUAUCUUUUGAGAGCACAACCUAAUAUUAAAGUUGUCAUGGGAUUUUAUUAACACUCAUAGAUGCAUCCAACACCAAACUAGGUUAGAAAAAUAUCUCUUAUUUUGUUUGUUUUGUUCUGAUCAGGUACACAGGUAGCAGCCUCAGGGAAUAUUUUUCAAAUUUCAAGUUAUGGCAAUCAGGCGCCCACUUGUAGAACAAGAGAAUAUUUUUCAAGAUUCAAGCUUUGGUAAUCAGGCGACCACCUAUAGAAUAAGAGAAUAUUUUUAAAGAUCAAGCUUUGGUAAUCAGGCACCCACAUGCAGAAAAUGGGAAUAUUUUUCAAGUCGCAAGCUUUGGUAAUCAGGCACACACCUGUAGAACAAGGGAAUAUUUUUCAAAUUUCAAGUUUUGGUAAUCAAGCACCCACCUGUAGAACAAGGGAAUAUUUUUCAAGAUUCACGUUUUGGUAAUCAGGUGCCCACCUGUAGAACAAGGGAAUGUUUUUCAAGAUGCAAGUUUUGGUAAUCAGGCGCCCACAUGUAGAACAUGGAAUAUUUUUCAAAUUUCAAGUUUUGGUAAUCAGGCGUCCACCUGUAGAACAAGGGAAUAUUUUUCAAGAUUCAAGUUUUAGUAAUCAGGUGCCCACCUGUAGAACAAGGGAAGAAUAUAUUUUUAAGUUGUAAGUUUUGGUAAUCAGGCGUCCACCUGCAGAAAAAGGGAAUAUUUUUUAAAUUUCAAAUUUUGGUAAUUAGGCGCCCCCUGUAGAACAAGGGAAUAUUUUUCAAGAUUCAAGUUUUGGUAAUCAGGCGCCCACCUGUAGAACAAGGGAAUAUUUUUCAAGAUUCAAGUUUUGGUAAUUAGGUGCUCACCUGUAGAACAAGGGAAUAUUUUUCAAGAUUCAAGCUUUGAUAAUCAGGUGCCCACCUGUAGAACAAGGGAAGAAUAUAUUUUCAAGUUGUAAGUUUUGGUAAUCAGGCGUCCACCUGCAAAAAUAGGAUAUUUUUUAAAUUUCAAGUUUUGGUAAUCAGGCGCCCCCUUUGUAAAACAAGGGAAUAUAAUCAGGUGCCCACCUGUAGAACAAGGGAAUAGUUUUCAAGAUUCAAGCUUUGAUAAUCAGGUGCCGACCUGUAGAACAAGGGAAGAAUAUAUUUUCAAGUUGUAAGUUUUGGUAAUCAGGCGUCCACCUGCAAAAAUAGGAUAUUUUUUAAAUUUCAAGUUUUGGUAAUCAGGCGCCCCCUUUGUAAAACAAGGGAAUAUAAUCAGGUGCCCACCUGUAGAACAAGGGAAUAGUUUUCAAGAUUCAAGCUUGAAAAAAGGAUAUUUUUUAAAUUUCAAGUUUUGGUAAUCAGGCGCCCCCUCUGUAAAACAAGGGAAUAUUUUUCAAGACUCAAGUUUUGGUAUUCAGGCGCCCACAUGUAGAACAAGGAAAUAUUUUUUAAGAUGCAAGUUUUGUAAUCAGGCUCCCACCUGUAGAACAAAGGAAUAUUUUUAAAAUUUUAAGUUUUGGUAAUCAGGCGCCCACGUGUAGAAAAAGAGAAUACUUUUCGCGUUCUAAGUUUUGGUAAUCAAGCGCCCGCCUGUAUAACAAGGGAAUAUUUUUCAAGAUACAAGCUUUGGUAAUCAGCAGCCUACCUAUAGAACAAGAGAAUAUUUUUCAAGAUGCAAACUUUGGUAAACGGGCACCCCACAUAUAGAACAAGGGAAUAUUUUUCAAUUUGUAAGUUUUGGUAAUCAUGCGCCCACCUGUAGAACAAGGGAAUAUUUUUCAAGAUGCAAGUUUUGGUAGUCAGGCGCCCACCUGUAGAACAAUGGAAUAUUUUUCAAGAUUUAAGUUUUGGUAGUCAGGCGCCCACCUGUAGAACAAGGGAAUAUUUUUCAAGAUUCAAGUUUGUAAUCAGGUGCCCACCUGGAGAACAAGGGAAUAUUUUUUCAAAUUUCAAGUUGUAGUAAUCAGGCGCCCACCUACAGAACAAGGGAAUAUUUUUCAAGUCGCAAGUUCUGGUAAUCAGGCACCCACUUGUAGAAUAAGGGAAUAUUUUUCGAGAUGCAAGCUUUGGUAAUCAAGCGCCCACCUGUAGAACAAGGGAAUAUUAUUCAAGUCUUAAAUUUUUGUAAUCAGGCGCCCACUUGUAGAAAAAGGGAAUAUUUUUCGGGCUGCAAAUCUUGGUAAUCAGGCGCCCACUUGCAGAGCAAGGAAAUACUUUCCAAGUUGCACGUUUGGUAAGCAGGCUCCCACCUGUAGAACAAGGGAAUAAUUUUCAAGUUGCAAGUUUUGGUAACCCCGCGCCCACCUAUAGAACAAGGGAAUACAUUUCAAGUCCAGCAGUUUAGCAUCAAACAUAGAAUAAGAGAAAAUAAGAAGUCAACAAGGCAAACAAGGAGUUUACAGGAAGAAACACAAGGCAACAAGGCAACAAAGAUGAAGAGCAAUAUUGAAGAUGUAGAUAGGUUCUUCUAUAAUCCAUAGUUCAUAUCUUUGUUUACCUUCUUCAUUUUUCACAAGGUGUAAUAAGGGGGUCUAGUAGUAGUAGUAGCAGCAGCAAAUCAGAACUUCGGUAGUCCCAGCUACCAAACACUCCCAAACUACACUGACCUAAUUCCUUUUUAGCCAAGAAUAUGUAGCCAACCCCAGAAGCAGGGUGCAGUCAAACUUUUAAAAAAUGCUUCACACGGAGCAUUCAAACGGACACUAAUCGCUCGUAUUAGUUCACUUAUCUUUGCACGAAAACUCUUCAUGUUUCCGAGAAAAGAGGGACAGCUGUGAACACGUGAUUUUUGCCCUAUAUAAAUCACUCUCAUAAUUUCAAACAAAAUAAUUCUUUUAUUAUUUUUAAUUAUUUUUAAUUUUGUUGAUUUUUGUGGCAUUUUCUGUUAUUUUCUUGCAUUUGUGUGUGCAUUUUUAAUUCAUAUAAAAAUACAAAAAUAUAGGCAUCGCAUUUAGGGUUUAAUUUUGCAUAUUUUAGGAAUUAAGCAGUGAUUAAUAGUUUACCAAAGCACAAAAGUAAAAAAAUAGUUUGCUUUUGUUUCAUUUUAAUUUUGGAAUUGUAGUAGUUUUUCUAUUAAAUUUAAUUAUUUGUGAUAAUUUUCAUUUAGAACUAAUUAAUUUAAUUUGGUAUAAUGAUUUAUUAGGAUUUUAUUUUUGAUUUAACUUGAAAAAAAGGGGGUAAAAGGAAGAAAACAACAAAAAUAGUUCAAUUCACACUUUUAAUUUUGAUUUUAAUUUUGCGUAGUGUUUCCAUUGAGUUUUUUGUAUUAAUUAUCAUAUAAGUAUAAUUAAUUUUAGGGUUAAUUUAGUGUUAGGAAUUAAUUUUAGGUUUUAUUUUAAUCUUAAUAGAUAAAAAAAUUUGAAUUAAAAAAGAAAAAAAGAGGAAAUCAAAGAAAUUGGAUGUCAUUCAUAAAAACCCAAGAAUGGGGCCAUCCCAAGAAAAUUCCCCACCUGAAAUACGCCCAACCCGACCCAAUACGCCCAAAAAUCCAGUCCAAGUCCCCAACCUUUGAGACUUUGAAACGACAUAGUAGAAGGAUGAUACUUCGUCGUUUUGAGUUCAUUAGUUUCAAAUCAAUCCCAUCCCUUUAUUUUCCCUAAUCCAAUGGCCAGGGUUCAGUCUCUAAGUUUUGUUAAAAAUAUCCGAAUUAGAAGGUCUCAACUGAACCUUCCUCGUAUCUCAUCUGUCUAUCUUCGGUCACCUCAAACCGCCGCUGGAAAUCGUCCUACGGCGGCGGCAAGUCUUCAAUUUUAACAAACAUUACACCAUAGACUCACAAUAACACGCUCUCCUCAAAUUUCGAACCAGCUUUCAUCAAAUCCAGUUGAAACACCUCAAAUCAUAGAUCUAAACGUCCACCCCCUAAGUCCUCCAGACUUGAACUCAUCAUGCAAAGGGCUUGGGUUCUUGCCAUCCUAUGUUUUGAAGACAAUUUGGGCCCGAGACAAGUGUCAGGCGACUUUUCCCACAAGAACAGUCGUAUAACUCCCCUUUUGGUUAAAAUCAGAGGAGCUGGGGUUCGAGUAGCCUGAGUCGUUCUUCACUUAGGUAUUUCUCUUCGUAUUCUUUUCUUCUCCCUAUUUUCACUUCCGUUUCCAGUCUUUCCUCGUUUCUUUUGUUGUUUUUCACCACUUCCUCCUCCGUUAUCGUCUUUUGUUUAUCUAUUUCUCUCUUACUAUUUUGAAAAUUUCUUUAAGAUUGAGUCGUGUUAGUAUGACGAUUAGCAUCGAUUUAGGUUUAUCAUUGUUAAUUUUUGUAUCCAGAUUUCUUUGAACUUCGUGUGCUAGAUUUGAGUUUCUUGAUUAAUCUGAGAUUCGCUAUACUGUAAUGGGUAUUAAAUUAAUUCAAUAUUGUUUAGUUGGGUUGAUUCAUCAGGCUCUGUUUUCAUUAUUGGGUAAAGGUUUUGGGUUAUAAUUGUGGGAGGUUCUUAAUGGGGUAAGAUGUUGGGCCUUUGAGUUUCUUAGCCCGUACCAGAAACAACUUUAGAGCUCUAUUUGUUUGGUUUGGGCUGGCCCAUAUAAGUUUUGGUUUUCUGGAGGUAAUAACAGGGUUGUGGGGGUAAACCUCACCCAUACCCAUUUAGUUACUGAAGAUUAAAAUGAAUAAGAAAACAGGGGAACUUGGGGCGGUAAUUUAGGAAGUUUAGGAUAAUAGAAUCUUAGUGUAACUGAUCUGGAAACUGCAAGUGAGGGGUCUUAGGGAAAUUUCAGACUUAUAGUUAUUAGCUUGGGCAUCAUGUCAAAAUUUGAGUGACUGAAUGCAAACUUAAAAAUCUGAGAUGCCCUACUUUAUGAUAUAUAAAUAGACCAUUCCUUGCCUUUGAGGGCA
Molecule: long non-coding RNA, 16952 nt
Filed under: Nicotiana benthamiana
Lineage: Eukaryota; Viridiplantae; Streptophyta; Magnoliopsida; Solanales; Solanaceae
Description: long non-coding RNA (NBEN_LNC032269)
Source: RNAcentral